RNAcentral lists this transfer RNA (63 nucleotides) under Loxoblemmus doenitzi. Its description in RNAcentral is "tRNA-Cys". Lineage: Eukaryota; Metazoa; Arthropoda; Insecta; Orthoptera; Gryllidae. The record is from RNAcentral.
GGUCUUAUAUUCAAUGAUGAUUUUAGACUGCAAUUCUGAAGGUGUAAUAAUAUACUAAGGCCU